UACGGAGGGGACUAGCGUUGUUCGGAAUUACUGGGCGUAAAGCGCACGUAGGCGGAUUUGUAAGCCAGGGGUGAAAUCCCGGGGCUCAACCUCGGAACUGCCUUUGAUACUGCAAAUCUCGAGUCCGGAAGAGGUGAGUGGAAUUCCUAGUGUAGAGGUGAAAUUCGUAGAUAUUAGGAAGAACACCAGUGGCGAAGGCGGCUCACUGGUCCGGUACUGACGCUGAGGUGCGAAAGCGUGGGGAGCAAACAGG
This 253-nucleotide ribosomal RNA is filed under the name uncultured bacterium. RNAcentral's name for it is "partial 16S ribosomal RNA". It matches the Rfam family "Bacterial small subunit ribosomal RNA", at positions 524 to 776 of the family's 1533-position model. The record is from RNAcentral.